UACACACCGCCCGUCACACCAUGGGAGUGUGUUGUACCAGAAGUAGGUAGAAUAACCGCAAGGGGUUCGCUUACCACGGUAUGAUACAUGACUGGGGUG
This 99-nucleotide ribosomal RNA is filed under the name uncultured bacterium. RNAcentral's name for it is "partial 16S ribosomal RNA". It matches the Rfam family "Bacterial small subunit ribosomal RNA", at positions 1384 to 1482 of the family's 1533-position model. The record is from RNAcentral.